Non-coding RNA from Pelobates cultripes (western spadefoot toad), 466 nucleotides. The record is from the annotation of a GenBank genome assembly. Lineage: Eukaryota; Metazoa; Chordata; Amphibia; Anura; Pelobatidae.
CAGUAUAAAUAUUUCAUUUUUUAAAGUGCUUUACAGGGUGGAAAUAAAUUUAAACAGUGGUACACUGCCAAAGACAUACUUAAUGGAUCACUAAAGGCACCCAAGACCACUUCAUCUCAAUUAAGUGGUCUGGGUGCAACGGCCCUUUAGUUUUAACCUUGCAAUGUUAAACACUGUAGCUUUGCAGAAAUUGCAAUGUUUCUAUUCCAGGGUUAAACACAACUCUAGAAGCAGUCUUCCUGACAGCCAAUAGAGACGCUUCCCCUGUGAGAGCCGACCCCAGUCAGACUCGAAUUUUAAUCAAAUUCUGCUCCUAGAGGGCAAUUUAUCGGCGCAGGGAUUUGCUGCACAUGUGCAAUAGCCUCCCUAUGUUUCCCUACAGGGGAAGCAAUAGAUUGGCUGAGAUCAUCAAUCUUGGUGAUCUCAGCAAAGAGACAGCGUGGCAUGUUUGUAUUGCCAACAUUAU